Molecule: long non-coding RNA, 467 nt
Organism: Apis dorsata (giant honeybee)
Lineage: Eukaryota; Metazoa; Arthropoda; Insecta; Hymenoptera; Apidae
Exons: 2
Source: RefSeq, a predicted model, not a curated record
UUAAAAUAAGGUUAGAGUGUACCUAUGAUAUAUAUUUCUUAAAUCAGAACGAUUUAUCUUUUCCAAUUGAACGAAUAGAAAACGUUAGUGUUUAUACUUUCUGCAUUCUCGCGUGUUAAUUUGUGCGAAUACAAUGGAAGGAUAUAACUUGGCGUGGCGUAAUAGGGCGAGAAUGAAAUUUAAUACGAACAUACAUUGAUCAAUUGUCAAUUAAUUCGAUCUUGUUAGUAAGUAGGCAUACAAUAAUCGACCAUGCCCAUUCACAAGAACACUGUCAAUGAACGUGUUGACAAGGUUUUAUGUACCGUGUCUCGAGCAACGUUUUAGUAUCGUGCAUAUUAUAUCGAAUAAUUGGUUCUUUGUGCCUCAUCACGUGUUCUCCUCGUUGAAACGUACGAAUGCGAUCAAUCAAAGAUAAAUUUCUACAGUGAAGUUACAGAUAUGAGUGAAGUCCAUCAUUUAGAUAA